Molecule: ribosomal RNA, 301 nt
Filed under: uncultured bacterium
Lineage: Bacteria
Description: partial 16S ribosomal RNA
Rfam family: Bacterial small subunit ribosomal RNA
Source: RNAcentral
CAGUAGCCGCGGUAAUACGUAGGUGGCAAGCGUUGUCCGGAAUUAUUGGGCGUAAAGGGCUCGCAGGCGGUUUCUUAAGUCUGAUGUGAAAGCCCCCGGCUCAACCGGGGAGGGUCAUUGGAAACUGGGAAACUUGAGUGCAGAAGAGGAGAGUGGAAUUCCACGUGUAGCGGUGAAAUGCGUAGAGAUGUGGAGGAACACCAGUGGCGAAGGCGACUCUCUGGUCUGUAACUGACGCUGAGGAGCGAAAGCGUGGGGAGCGAACAGGAUUAGAGACCCCUGUAGUCCCUGUCUCUUAUCC